This is a long non-coding RNA of Mauremys reevesii (Reeves's turtle), 1135 nucleotides long. RefSeq lists it as uncharacterized. The record is from RefSeq and is a predicted model, not a curated record. The transcript is spliced from 3 exons. NCBI's taxonomy places the organism in Eukaryota, Metazoa, Chordata, Testudines, Geoemydidae.
GUUCACCCCCACACUAGCCUGGAAAGGGUUAAUGUGGCUCAGGAGGGGCUAAGUAACCUGAUAACCACACCUGAAGGAGGAUUAGUCUUGAUAAACAAUCCCUGAUAGAGGAUGGAGCCCAGAUGAACAGGAGCAGACAGGGCUGAUAUAAGGCCAAGUAGUGAGAACAGGCGGGUGUUGUAGGUAGGAGCUUUGCAGUUGCUUCCUAGAGAGAAAGGGAAUUGGGUAGGGUAUUAGGGAGGCAAUUUGCAGUUAUUCUUUGGGGGAAGACGCAGGUGGAUAGGAAGAAACCUGAGAGGAGUAUAAGCCCCGGGAGCCUAUCCUGGCAGAAGGUGUUUACCCAGAGGAGGUGUAGGGAAGUGAGCCUGUAGAAGGCACAGUAGGAAGAAGCCCAGGGAAAGAGAAGUGACAGUUGAGACUGUGUAGACCUUGGCUACUGCUGAUAGGGUCCCUGGGCUUGGAGCUGGAGUAGUAAGUAGGCCUAGGUUCCCCUCCUGGUCCCUAAAGAAGUGGCACAGAAUAGGAAUUGCCACAGAGGACUACCUGGGAUGGUGGAUGGAUAGUUGGUCUUGAGAAACUAAAUACCCUGGCAAGGGGAAACCAUAAUGACCUAGCUGGAGGCCUAAGCCAUGAAGAGAGGGCACCCAAGUCACAAAAGGGAAGCACUGCAACUCCUGGAGUGUGAGAGGUGCUACAACACAAACAAGAAACUGGAAGUGGAGUCAGACUAGGCAGAGCUAUUUGCCAGAUGCUGCUACCAAGAGACACCCCAGCUAUUCUUCUUCCAGACUUUGUCUUUGGCUGACAUGAGUUGAACAACUUGUGGAGUAAGGUACUACACUCCAGGGUCUUCCUGUAUAUGGCGUGUGUGCUGGAAAGUGGGUAAUGAAGUCUUACAGUGACAUAUGAUCAUGUCACCUGAACUGGAAUCCAUCCUUAACCUGGUGCUUUUCCAUUGAGAAGAGUGGGGGACCCAGAGGGACAAAGGAUUCCCACCUUUUGCAAAAGAUAUAUAAGUGGGUGGAACAGAGAAAAGGGAGAGCCAUCAUGAUAGCUACCACCUGAGCUGGAACCAGUGGAAAGGAUUGUGCCCAGACUAGGAAGGUGUCCAGUCUGUGAAAAAGACUUAUUGAAA